Molecule: small nuclear RNA, 199 nt
Organism: Phyllostomus discolor (pale spear-nosed bat)
Lineage: Eukaryota; Metazoa; Chordata; Mammalia; Chiroptera; Phyllostomidae
Product: U2 spliceosomal RNA
Exons: 1
Source: RefSeq, a predicted model, not a curated record
GUCACUUCUCAGCCUUUUUGCUAAGAUCAAGUGUAUUAUCUGUUCUUAUAAGGUUACAAAAUGACACUCAAAAUAGAGGAAACUGCCUUUACUUCUUUGUAAGAGAUUAAGUCAGAGUAGAUGUAACCUUUCUUCUUUGCCUGUGAGUUUGAUAUUCCUUUUCUAUUUUUUGCAUAAUUGAGAAAAAAGUGAACUAUCU